UAGGGAAUCUUCCACAAUGGACGAAAGUCUGAUGGAGCAACGCCGCGUGAGUGAAGAAGGGUUUCGGCUCGUAAAACUCUGUUGUAAGAGAAGAAUGACAUUGAGAGUAACUGUUCAAUGUGUGACGGUAUCUUACCAGAAAGGAACGGCUAAAUACGUGCCAC
Molecule: ribosomal RNA, 164 nt
Filed under: uncultured bacterium
Lineage: Bacteria
Description: partial 16S rRNA
Rfam family: Bacterial small subunit ribosomal RNA
Source: RNAcentral